This 253-nucleotide ribosomal RNA is filed under the name uncultured bacterium. RNAcentral describes it as "partial 16S ribosomal RNA". It matches the Rfam family "Bacterial small subunit ribosomal RNA", at positions 524 to 776 of the family's 1533-position model. The record is from RNAcentral.
UACGAAGGGGGCUAGCGUUGCUCGGAAUCACUGGGAGUAAAGCGCACGUAGGCGGCUUUUUAAGUCAGGGGUGAAAUCCUGGAGCUCAACUCCAGAACUGCCUUUGAUACUGAGAAGCUUGAGUCCGGGAGAGGUGAGUGGAACUGCGAGUGUAGAGGUGAAAUUCGUAGAUAUUCGCAAGAACACCAGUGGCGAAGGCGGCUCACUGGCCCGGUACUGACGCUGAGGUGCGAAAGCGUGGGGAGCAAACAGG